GCCCAGCCAUAACAAAACAAUCAAAUAACCAAUUGUUCGCCAAAUAACUACGAGUGAAAACUUAAAACUUAAAAGACUUGACGGUACUUCACACCAACCUAGAGGAGCCUGUUUAAUAACCGAUAACCCACGAUUAACCCAACCCCCCCUAGCCCAACAGUCUAUAUACCGCCGUCGCCAGCUUACCUUAUGAAAGAACCAAAGUAAGCCCAAUAACAUCACACUUAACACGACAGGUCGAGGUGUAACUAAUGGUGAGGAACUAAAUGGGCUACAUUUUCUUACAACCAGAAAACUUAAACGAAUAAACUGUGAAACCAGAAACUGAAGGCGGAUUUAGCAGUAAGAUAAGAAUAAAAUACUUAACCGAAAUUAACGCAAUGAAGUGCGCACACACCGCCCGUCAUCCCUGAAGGCCAUAUAAACUAUUAAUAAACCACAUUUCCCCUAUAAAAACAGGGCAAGUCGUAACACGGUAAGCGUACUGGAAAGUGCGCUUAGAAACAAAAAGUAGCUUACACUAAAGCACUCGACUUACAAUCGAACAAUGUUAAACAUUAACCUUUUUGAGCUGAAAGUACAAUAAUUUCACAAACAUCUUUAUGUAUAUCAAACAAACCAUUU
Molecule: ribosomal RNA, 624 nt
Filed under: Elapsoidea nigra
Lineage: Eukaryota; Metazoa; Chordata; Lepidosauria; Squamata; Elapidae
Description: partial 12S ribosomal RNA
Rfam family: tRNA (bases 505-570)
Source: RNAcentral